UGCAAAUACAAUAAAUAAAUACAGAAUCAGAAUGUAAACUGAAUGUGGCAAUCAACAUACAAAUUAGGAUCCAAGCCAUGCUAGUUAGUGCUUGAUUUUCUACCUCGGAUCACCUGCUUACUGAAGUUUUCUCCCUUCUCUUUAUCCGGCCCUGAUCUCUCCCACAUUGGAUAAAGGACAUCAGAUGAGAGAAGACAGAUAGCUUAAGAAUGCUGCUCAGCUUACACCAGAGGAGCAAUGACUGAUGUUCUCAGAAGAAGAAAAGAGACAGAGAAAGAAGGCAGCCAUGUGUUGACGAGGCAGAGACUACAGUGAGGCAGUCACAAUCCAAAGAAUGCUCGGGGCCACCAGAAGCUGAAAGAAGCAAGGAAAACUGACUGAGAAGGCCUGGGAAAGGAAAAAGAAAAGCUUGCUGUCUUUGCACCUGCUCUUAAAGGAGAAGUAGUCUUCAGGAGGAGAAGGUGGAGGUUGGAGGGGCUGAAGAGCAUACCUGGCCAGUGGAAAGGUGCUCGAGAUCCCGAUAAAGCAGAGAAUGGCCCAACCUCCGAGGAGCUCCUGGUGUGAGCGGACGGCGGUGCAGAUACCCGUGGAAAAGUCUGUAUCGCACCGGGCAUUCCCAGCACAUUAACUGCUUUAUUAAGUUAGCUUUUGACAAUCAAAAAAAAGAAGAAGGAAGGAGAGAAGGGAGGAAGGAAAGAGGGAAGGAAGAAGGAAGAAAAAUUCAUGGUGAUUUUUAAAUGUUUAUUGUUUAUAUUCUGCAACCAAACACCAAAAUUAAAAACUCUAAUUUAUUUGG
Balaenoptera acutorostrata (minke whale) is the source of this 796-nucleotide long non-coding RNA. RefSeq lists it as uncharacterized. Lineage: Eukaryota; Metazoa; Chordata; Mammalia; Artiodactyla; Balaenopteridae. The transcript is spliced from 5 exons. The record is from RefSeq and is a predicted model, not a curated record.